Molecule: ribosomal RNA, 496 nt
Filed under: uncultured bacterium
Lineage: Bacteria
Description: partial 16S ribosomal RNA
Rfam family: Bacterial small subunit ribosomal RNA
Source: RNAcentral
GAUGAACGCUGGCGGCGUGCCUAAUACAUGCAAGUCGAGCGAACAGAUAAGGAGCUUGCUCCUUUGACGUUAGCGGCGGACGGGUGAGUAACACGUGGGUAACCUACCUAUAAGACUGGAAUAACUCCGGGAAACCGGGGCUAAUGCCGGAUAACAUUUAGAACCGCAUGGUUCUAAAGUGAAAGAUGGUUUUGCUAUCACUUAUAGAUGGACCCGCGCCGUAUUAGCUAGUUGGUAAGGUAACGGCUUACCAAGGCAACGAUACGUAGCCGACCUGAGAGGGUGAUCGGCCACACUGGAACUGAGACACGGUCCAGACUCCUACGGGAGGCAGCAGUAGGGAAUCUUCCGCAAUGGGCGAAAGCCUGACGGAGCAACGCCGCGUGAGUGAUGAAGGGCUUCGGAUCGUAAAACUCUGUUAUUAGGGAAGAACAAAUGUGUAAGUAACUGUGCACGUCUUGACGGUACCUAAGCAGAAAGCCACGGCUAACUACGU